UACAGAGGGGGCAAGCGUUAUUCGGAAUUAUUGGGCGUAAAGAGCGCGCAGGCGGUCGAUCAAGUCGCGUGUGAAAGCCCCCGGCUCAACUGGGGAGGGUCACGCGAUACUGAUCGACUCGAAGGCAGGAGAGGGUAGUGGAAUUCCCGGUGUAGUGGUGAAAUGCGUAGAUAUCGGGAGGAACACCAGUGGCGAAGGCGACUACCUGGCCUGUUCUUGACGCUGAGGCGCGAAAGCUAGGGGAGCAAACGGG
This 253-nucleotide ribosomal RNA is filed under the name uncultured bacterium. RNAcentral's name for it is "partial 16S ribosomal RNA". It matches the Rfam family "Bacterial small subunit ribosomal RNA", at positions 524 to 776 of the family's 1533-position model. The record is from RNAcentral.